Molecule: long non-coding RNA, 653 nt
Organism: Fukomys damarensis (Damara mole-rat)
Lineage: Eukaryota; Metazoa; Chordata; Mammalia; Rodentia; Bathyergidae
Exons: 4
Source: RefSeq, a predicted model, not a curated record
ACCAUGGAUAAGUGGAUGAUGUCAGACCAGAAAACUACCCACUGUCCUGUAAUCAUGGGAGAGAAUGAUCAUUGCUGGGAAAAAGAAAUACUCUCAGAGUCCCCUUCAGGGUUCAAGAAGGCAGAACCAGCUGAAAUGAAAAGCACGCCAGAGACAACACUUUCAGUAGCAUCUUCAUGACGUUAAAUCACUGGAUGCCUCAAACAGCUUCCUACUUUACCUCCAAAGGAUGUGGUAUAAAAUGAAUCAAAUAAAGUCUACCAAUCCCUGAGUCUCUUAAGAAGAAACCAUCAGAGACUCUAGGAACGACAUCUUCAAACAGGAUACCCUCAGGCUUGAUUUCUAAGCCAAGGGCAGAUGCUCAACUUCAGACUUUGAAACUGUUUCUAGAAGAGAAUCCUAAGAACUGGAGAGGUAGCAGGCAAGGCGGGAAGACAAAUAUUCAGCUCAGCCUGGGAUUCCUGUUCUUUCACAGAAGUCAAAGGGCAUCCUGGAAAUACGGCCUGUCCAUGGCCAAGAGAUCACACGAGAGACAACAAAGCUGCACCCUUUGACCAGGCCAUUUUAGCCUCUGCUUCCUCCAGGCUGGUUGAAAACCAGAUAGAAAAAAACUAGAAUAAAGAUGAAAGAUAAUUUUUUUUUCUCUUUUGUUU